AUUAGCUUGCUUUUGAAGAUCAGCGGCGGACGGGUGAGUAACACGUGGGCAACCUGCCUGUAAGACUGGGAUAACUUCGGGAAACCGGAGCUAAUACCGGAUAAUCCUUUCCCUCACAUGAGGGAAAGCUGAAAGACGGUUUCGGCUGUCACUUACAGAUGGGCCCGCGGCGCAUUAGCUAGUUGGUGAGGUAACGGCUCACCAAGGCAACGAUGCGUAGCCGACCUGAGAGGGUGAUCGGCCACACUGGGACUGAGACACGGCCCAGACUCCUACGGGAGGCAGCAGUAGGGAAUUCUUCCGCCAAUGGACGAAAGUCUGACGGAGCAACGCCCGCGUGAACGAUGAAGGCUUUCGGGUCGUAAAGUUCUGUUGUCAGGGAAGAACAAGUAUCGGAGUAACUGCCGGUACCUUGACGGUACCUGACCAGAAAGCCACGGCUAACUACGUGCCAGCAGCCGCGGUAAUACGUAGGUGGCAAGCGUUGUCCGGAAUUAUUGGGCGUAAAGCGCGCGCAGGCGGUUCCUUAAGUCUGAUGUGAAAGCCCCCGGCUCAACCGGGGAGGGUCAUUGGAAACUGGGGAACUUGAGUGCAGAAGAGGAGAGCGGAAUUCCACGUGUAGCGGUGAAAUGCGUAGAGAUGUGGAGGAACACCAGUGGCGAAGGCGGCUCUCUGGUCUGUAACUGACGCUGAGGCGCGAAAGCGUGGGGAGCGAACAGGAUUAGAUACCCUGGUAGUCCACGCCGUAAACGAUGAGUGCUAAGUGUUAGAGGGUUUCCGCCCUUUAGUGCUGCAGCAAACGCAUUAAGCACUCCGCCUGGGGGAGUACGGCCGCAAGGCUGAAACUCAAAGGAAUUGACGGGGGCCCGCACAAGCGGUGGAGCAUGUGGUUUAAAUUCGAAGCAACGCGAAGAACCUUACCAUGUCUUGACAUCCUCUGACAACCCUAGAGAUAGGGCGUUCCCCUUUCGGGGGACAGAGUGACAGGUGGUGCAUGGUUGUCGUCAGCUCGUGUCGUGAGAUGUUGGGUUAAGUCCCGCAACGAGCGCAACCCUUUGAUCUUAGUUGCCAGCAUUCAGUUGGGCACUCUAAGGUGACUGCCGGUGACAAACCGGAGGAAGGUGGGGAUGACGUCAAAUCAUCAUGCCCCUUAUGACCUGGGCUACACACGUGCUACAAUGGAUGGAACAAAGGGUCGCGAAGCCGCGAGGUCGAGCCAAUCCCAUAAAUCCAUUCUCAGUUCGGAUUGCAGGCUGCAACUCGCCUGCAUGAAGCCGGAAUCGCUAGUAAUCGCGGAUCAGCAUGCCGCGGUGAAUACGUUCCCGGGCCUUGUACACACCGCCCGUCACACCACGAGAGUUUGUAACACCCGAAGUCGG
This 1379-nucleotide ribosomal RNA is filed under the name Mesobacillus jeotgali. RNAcentral describes it as "bacterial SSU rRNA". It matches the Rfam family "Bacterial small subunit ribosomal RNA", at positions 74 to 1430 of the family's 1533-position model. The record is from RNAcentral. Lineage: Bacteria; Bacillati; Bacillota; Bacilli; Caryophanales; Bacillaceae.